GCUAUUACUGUGAGUGGUCUAUAAUUAAGCUCAAUGAGACAUCUAGGGAGUCCAUACAUAUCAGGGAGCAAUUGUAGUUUGCUUAUUUAUAGCAUUUGGGGGGGGGACAAGUGGUGGACACAUUUGGAUCACAUUUAUACAGUUAUAAAAAUUAAAGAUUUGAUUUUGGUCAUUCUUCAGACUUUGGACUAUGAAUGGCUUAUACUGAAGUAAUUGGUUACUUUUAGGAUGUUACACCAUUUAAUAACUUAGACUUCUUAAGUUUGGUAGAUUGUUAGAUACUGAAGACUUGAAGAAUGCAAUCAAUUAUAAUGACCUUACUCAUCUAUUAAGAAGUGAAGUAUUUUCAAAGUUGUAUCUCCAGUCCAUUGAGAUUGGCAACUGACAAUUCUUGUCAUUCUAAGGAAAUUUGAUGAUUUAUUGACAGUGUGACAUCCUCAUGAGAAGUAAAAAUGAUCUAUGCAUCCUAUGGUUUAAGAGCAAAUUUUGAAACUUGGAGUUGUGGUUUUUCAGUUUGUGUACACUCCUCCCAAAUUGUAGUCUUUUGAGUCAUGUGCAUUUCAUGUUGGUAAGGCAGGGAAGUAACAAAUAAGUAUUUUGUGUGUAUUUAGUGGUUGCUUUGUUUUGAGAGAAAAGCUUUGAGGUG
RNAcentral lists this long non-coding RNA (646 nucleotides) under Rattus norvegicus (Norway rat). RNAcentral's name for it is "long non-coding RNA NONRATT018081". The record is from RNAcentral. Lineage: Eukaryota; Metazoa; Chordata; Mammalia; Rodentia; Muridae.